Molecule: non-coding RNA, 83 nt
Organism: Gossypium hirsutum (cotton)
Lineage: Eukaryota; Viridiplantae; Streptophyta; Magnoliopsida; Malvales; Malvaceae
Source: Rfam
GCGGGGAUAGCUCAGUUGGGAGAGCGUCAGACUGAAGAUAUAUCUGUUAUCUGAAGGUCGCGUGUCGAUCCACGCUCACCGCA